UGCCGUUCGAGCCCCCUAUGAAAGGUAAAUUCUGCCCAGUGAAAGCUUAAACGGCCGCGGUACCCUGACCGUGCAAAGGUAGCAUAAUAGCUCGUCUUUUAAUUAAAGACUUGUAUGAACGAAUAAACGAGAGGGUAGCUGUCUCUAAAGCACCCAUGAAAUUUAACCUGUAUGUGAAAAGGCAUACAUCUUCCUAAAAGACAAGAAGACCCUGUCGAGCUUAAUUGUAAUUAACCGGCAAAAAAAAUAAUUUACCAUUACCGAAAACCAUCUCAAUUUAGUUGGGGCAACAAGGGAACAAAUAAACCUUCCCGCAACACACCUUCAUACCCACACAGACCCCCCACAGGGAGUAAAAGAUAAAAGCUACCGCAGGGAUAACAGGUUAAUUUUUCUCGAGAGUACACAUUGACAGAAAAGAUUUACACCUCGAUGUUGGCUUGGGCUAACCCCCUAGUGCAGAAGCUAGUAAAGGCAGGUUUGUUCACCCUAAAAAAGCCCACAUGAGCUG
Molecule: ribosomal RNA, 511 nt
Filed under: Euphrosinopsis horsti
Lineage: Eukaryota; Metazoa; Annelida; Polychaeta; Eunicida; Euphrosinidae
Description: partial large subunit ribosomal RNA
Rfam family: Bacterial large subunit ribosomal RNA
Source: RNAcentral